This 207-nucleotide ribosomal RNA is filed under the name uncultured bacterium. RNAcentral's name for it is "partial 16S ribosomal RNA". It matches the Rfam family "Bacterial small subunit ribosomal RNA", at positions 568 to 774 of the family's 1533-position model. The record is from RNAcentral.
CGUGCAGGCGGUUUCGUAAGUCGGACGUGAAAGCUCCUGGCUUAACUGGGAGAGGUCGUUCGAUACUGCGAGGCUUGAGGUCGGGAGAGGGACGUGGAAUUCCCGGUGUAGUGGUGGAAUGCGUAGAUAUCGGGAGGAACACCAGUGGCGAAGGCGGCGUCCUGGCCCGCACCUGACGCUGAGACGCGAAAGCGUGGGUAGCGAACG